RNAcentral lists this non-coding RNA (30 nucleotides) under Rattus norvegicus (Norway rat). Lineage: Eukaryota; Metazoa; Chordata; Mammalia; Rodentia; Muridae. The record is from RNAcentral.
UAAUAGAAGAGCAGAGGACAUAGCCUGCUA